UACGGGGGGUGCAAGCGUUGUUCGGAAUUAUUGAGCGUAAAGAGCGUGUAGGCGGCCGAAUGUGUCAGAUGUGAAAGCCCUGGGCUUAACCCAGGAAGUGCAUUUGAAACUGUUCGGCUUGAGUAGGGGAGAGGGAAGUGGAAUUCCUGGUGUAGAGGUGAAAUUCGUAGAUAUCAGGAGGAACACCGGUGGCGAAGGCGACUUCCUGGCCCUAUACUGACGCUGAGACGCGAAAGCGUGGGGAGCAAACAGG
Molecule: ribosomal RNA, 253 nt
Filed under: uncultured bacterium
Lineage: Bacteria
Description: partial 16S ribosomal RNA
Rfam family: Bacterial small subunit ribosomal RNA
Source: RNAcentral